RNAcentral lists this ribosomal RNA (253 nucleotides) under uncultured bacterium. RNAcentral's name for it is "partial 16S ribosomal RNA". It matches the Rfam family "Bacterial small subunit ribosomal RNA", at positions 524 to 776 of the family's 1533-position model. The record is from RNAcentral.
UACGUAGGCAGCAAACGUUGUUCGGAAUUACUGGGCGUAAAGGGCGUGCAGGCGGUUUGUUAAGUCUAGGGUGAAAGCUCCCGGCUCAACUGGGAGAGGUCCUUGGAUACUGGCGAACUUGAGGGAUGCAGAGGAAAGUGGAAUUCCCGGUGUAGUGGUGAUAUGCGUAGAUAUCGGGAGGAACACCAGUGGCGAAGGCGGCUUUCUGGGCAUUUCCUGACGCUGAGACGCGAAAGCGUGGGGAGCGAACCGG